RNAcentral lists this ribosomal RNA (448 nucleotides) under Penaeus merguiensis. Its description in RNAcentral is "partial 16S ribosomal RNA". It matches the Rfam family "Bacterial large subunit ribosomal RNA", at positions 1939 to 2636 of the family's 2925-position model. The record is from RNAcentral. Lineage: Eukaryota; Metazoa; Arthropoda; Malacostraca; Decapoda; Penaeidae.
AUAUUGACCGUGCGAAGGUAGCAUAAUCAUUAGUCUUUUAAUUGAAGGCUUGUAUGAAUGGUUGGACAAAAAGUAAGCUGUCUCAAUUAUAAUAAUUGAACUUAACUUUUAAGUGAAAAGGCUUAAAUAAAUUAGGGGGACGAUAAGACCCUAUAAAGCUUGACAAUAAUUUAAUUAUACUAUCAAUUGUUAGUGUAACUUGGUUUUAAUUAAAAUUUGUUGCGUUGGGGCGACGAGAAUAUAAUAGGUAACUGUUCUUAAAUAUUUAAUAACAAAUAUAAUUGAAAAUUAGUAUGAUCCUCUAUUAGCGAUUAAAAGAUUAAGUUACUUUAGGGAUAACAGCGUAAUCUUCUUUGAGAGUCCCUAUCGACAAGAAGGUUUGUAUUGACCGUGCGAAGGUAGCAUAAUCAUUAGUCUUUUAAUUGAAGGCUUGUAUGAAUGGUUGGAC